This 253-nucleotide ribosomal RNA is filed under the name uncultured prokaryote. RNAcentral describes it as "partial 16S ribosomal RNA". It matches the Rfam family "Bacterial small subunit ribosomal RNA", at positions 524 to 776 of the family's 1533-position model. The record is from RNAcentral.
UACGAGGGGGGCAAGCGUUGUUCGGAAUUAUUGGGCGUAAAGGGUGCGUAGGCGGGCCACCAAGUCCGGGGUGAAAUCCUCCAGCUUAACUGGAGAAUAGCCCUGGAUACUGGUGAUCUCGAGGGAGGUAGGGGCAGCUGGAACUUCCGGUGGAGCGGUGAAAUGCGUUGAUAUCGGAAGGAACGCCGGUGGCGAAAGCGAGCUGCUGGACCUCUUCUGACGCUGAGGCACGAAAGCCAGGGGAGCAAACGGG